RNAcentral lists this long non-coding RNA (4385 nucleotides) under Homo sapiens (human). Its description in RNAcentral is "HSALNT0003723". The record is from RNAcentral. Lineage: Eukaryota; Metazoa; Chordata; Mammalia; Primates; Hominidae.
UGCUUUGUGAUAUACUGGUCAAAGCCAAACAACAACAGUAAUUUCCCCACAAGCACCAAGAAUAUGAGGUGAGGAUGAUUACAUUGGAAAUAACACCAAAGAAGUGAGUAUAUCUGGUAUUAAGAAAGAACAGUUGUGUGGCCUUGCUUAAGUCUCUUAAUCUUUCCAAGUAGACACUCAUUCCUGUGACUCACAGGCAUAGGACGCAUUGGAACAAACACUGACGGGGUUACGUACGCUUCACCCGAAAAAGGCUCAUUCCUUACCCCCAAUACCCUUUUCCUUAGAAGGCUGCUGUGGAGCUCAAAUGAAACAAUGUAAGUCAAAAGGUUUUUAAGAAUAUAAAUAUUUUUAUUUACUAAGAAAUAUAUGUUGCCAGGCCGGGCACGGUGGCUCACGCCUGUAAUCCCAGCGCUUUGGGAGGCCGAGGUGGGCGGAUCACGAGGUCAGGAGAUCAAGACCAUCCUGGCUAACAUGGUGAAACCCCGUCUCUACUAAAAAUACAAAAAAUUAGCCGGGCGUGGUGGCAGGCGCCUGUAGUCCCAGCUACUCGGGAGGCUGAGGCAGGAGAAUGGCAGUGAAUCCGGGAGACGGAGCUUGCAGUGAGACGAGAUCGUGCUACUGCGCUCCAGCCUGGGCAACAGAGUGAGACUCCAUCUCAAAAAAAAGAAAGAAAUAUAUGUUGUCAAAUAUUAAGCACUUACUAUGUGCCAGGCAUUGUGCUGAGGGUUUUACAGUCAUUCAUUCAACAAAUGAACAUAAGGAGCUUUUACUACAUGCCAGGUGCUGUUCCUGGCACAGAAUGAAGGGAUAUAUCAAUGAGCAAAACAGGCAAUGUCCUUGCUCAUGGUACUUACAUUCUAGCAGGAAGGGACAGACAAUAAACAAUGAAAUAAAUAAAAAUAAGAAAAUAUCCAGUAGUGGAAAGUGUAUGAUGGCAAUAACACAAGUUGAAGUGACAAUAACUGGUGAGCUACUUUUAGACUUCAGGUCAAAGAAACUGUAGUGGACAUUUGUCGAAUUUUCUGGCUUCUCAGCAUUUGAACGCUUCUUAUAUUUUGGGAAUUCCCCUUUUGAGUCUAGUGGGAAGCAGAGCCCCUUACCACUAUAAAGUGAGAAAGGAGGUGACUGAGAUUCUCUUUCUGAGGCUCCCUUGCAGCUACAAUGUGAAUAUAUGGCCCAGGCUAUGCCAACCAGACACAUCACCCCUAAACCCUGAACUGGGAUCUAGUGUCUCAGAGUCAGAGGACCACAGAGAGUUCACCUGGAGUGUAGCAAGGGGUGGCCACAGUGGCCAUUAAGUCCAGUGCAGCAGGUGGUGUUAGCUGUGUAAGUAGUGGUGGCAACAGUGUGUUCACCAGGCUGAGUCUAUGAAUGAUUUUAGUCGUGGGUCCUGCCUAUUGCCCAGUUUCUCUUGUUUUAGCAUUCUUCAAGCAUGACUCUAUGACCUUCCCUGAUGUUUUGUGAAUUUCCUUAAUAUCUUUUCAAUAAUCAGCCAGAGUUGGUUUCUGUUGCAUACAACUACAAAUCCUGCCUGAUAGAGAGGGGUUCUCUGAGAAGAUGACAUUUAGGCUGAAACAUGAAUGACAAGCAGCAGCAAAGAACUGGGGGAAAACCACUUCCAGGGAGAGAGUGCUAAGACCCCAGAAGAAGAGUGGUUCAAAAAGUUUUGGCCGGGUGUGGUGGUUCACGCCUGUAAUCCGAGCACUUUGGGAGGCUGAGAUGGGUGGAUCAACUGAGGUCAGGAGUUCAAGACCAGCCCAGCCAACAUGGUGAAACCCCAUCUCUACUAAAAAUACAAAAAUUAGCUGCGUGUGGUGGAGCAUGCCUGUAAUCCCAGCUACUAAGGAGGCUGAGGCAGGAGAAUCGCGUGAACCUGGGAGGCAGAGGUUGCAGUGAGCUGAGAUCGUGCCACUGCACUCUGGCUUGGGCGACAGAGCGAGACUCCAUCUCAGCAAAAAAAAGUUUUACGGGCUGGUCCAAAGGUACCAAGUUAUCUCAAUUGAUUAUUCACAGUUACAUAUUGAACUCCUUGUUCUACUGUUUCCCCUCUUGUCACUACUGCACUUGUCUUAAACAAAAAAAGCUUGUAGGGUAGAUGCUCUUACUGUCAUAAUUUUACAUAUGAGGAAACAUAUUCAUAGACAUGCAACAAUUUUCACAAUAUUACACAGCUAAAACUGGAGAUGGAACAGGAACUCAAACCCAGGGCCAUGUGAUUCCAAAGUCCAUUCUCUUGACAACUAUGGUAUGUAAUUUCCUAGAGUAGCAAUCACUAUGAGAAUCCACCAAAAGAGCCCACUAAAUUGCCAUGACUUAUUCAUUAAUUUUCUUAAAAUGUUAAUGGGGUAUUUACCUAGCACCAAGCACUGUGAUAGACAAGGAGGAAUAAUGAGAUGAAACACAUAGUAGCCAUACUAAGAAAGCUCAGUAUCAAAGAGAAGGGGUUUUUAGCUAAGACUGGUGCGUGGCUUGGAAAUACUAAAAGGAACAAAAAUGGGGGGAAAAGAGAAACCAGACAAGCAGGAAACCACAAUUCAGGUAAAUGGUAAAAUGGAAGUUGGGAUCAAAUUGGUAGACAGGUUUAAAAAAAAAAAACAAAAUGUCAAAUUUGGCUAGGCACGGUGGCUUACGCCUGUAAUCCCAGCACUUUGGGAGGCUGAGGUAUGCAGAUCACCUGAGGUCAGGAGUUCAAGGCCAACAUGGUGAAACCACAUCUCUACUAAAAAUACAAAAAAAAUCAGCCAGGCGUGGUGGUGCAUGCCUGUAAUCCCAGCUACUGGGGAGGCUGAGGCAGGAGAAUCGUUUUAACCUGGGAGGCGGAGGUUGCAGUGAGCCGAGAUUGCGCCACUGCAUUCCACCCUGGAUGACAGAGCGAAACUCCGUCUCAAAAAAAAAGUCAAAAUUUAAUACAACUGAUGCCUACUUAGCAUUCUUUUUUUUUUGAGACAGAGUCUCACUCUGUCACCCAGGCUGGAGUGCAGUGGCGCGAUAGCUCACUGGAACCACUGCCUCUCAGGUUCAAGCGGUUCCGUGCCUCAGCCUCCCAAGUAGCUGAGAUUACAGGAGUGCAUCACCAUGUUUAGCUAUUUUUUAUGUAUUUUUUGCAGAGACAGGGUUUCGCCAUAUUGGUCAGGCUGAUCUUGAACUCCUGACAUCAAUUGAUCCACCUGCCUUUACUUCCCAAAGUGCUGGGAUUACAGGCGUGAGCCACCACGCCUGGCCUGGUUAGCAUUCUGGUGAAUAUUUCUGCUCCCAUCCUGAGAAGAAAUGAUAGCAUACUGGUAGAGAGCUCAUCUUGGAGCAUGCCUAUCUUCUCUCCUCUCAAGAAAAGGGACUCAGUGCCUUUCCACAAGCUUUUACAGGCAGACAAACUAACUAGAAACACUUUAUUUUAAAAAAUCAUUUUGUUUUUUUCUUUUUUUUGUUUUUGUUUUUAAAACUGGAAACACUUCUAAGUAGAGAUUAUUUAAAAGGUUCACAUCGGGAAGGAAAUACCCUUAAAUCUACCAAGGGGCAUAACAAGUUUCAUACCUCAGUCCAAAAGUCUCUCAAACACAAAUAAUCAGAUCAAUAAAUCAAUAGUUAUUCGAGGAUGAGAAGAUUUAAACAUGAUCAAAUUUUAAAAGCAUUAUUUUAAGGAGGGCUUUGAGCUCAGAUAUAAAAUGACAUGAAUGAGAGAUUUGGAUUGACACAAUAAAGUUACAUAUAUGAUUAAACACUAGAAAAGACUACAUCAAGGGGAUUUCUACCUGGUGCAGUAUGCAAAUUACAUAAUGUUCAGUUCUGCUAAGAGGCAAAAAGGCUGAAAUUAGUGACUAAGAAUUCAUAAAAUAAAAUUUUCAAUGUCUAUUUUGCCAGGCACUGUGAUAAACUUUGAAAAUAUAGCAGAUGCCUGAAUGUGGCGGCUCACGCCUAUAAUCCCAGCAUUUUGGGAGGCAGAAGUGGGAAGAUCGCUUGAGGUCAGGACUUCGAAACCAGCCUGAACAACACAGCAAGACCUUGUCGGUUAAAAAAAAAAAAAAGAAAGAAAGAAAGAAGAAGAAAGAAGAAAGAGAGAAGAAGAGGAAGAGGAAGAAGAGAAGAGGAAGGAGGAGGAAGGAGGAGGAGGGAGGAGGGAGGAGGAGGAGGGGAGGGGGAGGGGGAGGGGAAGAAGAAAGAAGAAAGAAGAAGAAGAAGAAAGAAGAAAGAAGAAAGAAGAAGAAGCAGAAACAGAGAGGAGGCCGGCCGGGCGCAGUGGCUCACACCUGUAAUCCCAGCACUUUGGAAGGCCAAGGUGGGCAGAUCAAGGAGGCCAAGGUCAGGAGAUCAAGACCAUCCUGGCUAACACAGUGAAACCCUGUCUCUACUAAACGUACAAAAAGUUAGCCAGGUGUGGUGGCACG